Molecule: non-coding RNA, 100 nt
Filed under: uncultured Ruminococcus sp.
Lineage: Bacteria; Bacillati; Bacillota; Clostridia; Eubacteriales; Oscillospiraceae
Description: SAM riboswitch (S box leader)
Rfam family: SAM riboswitch aptamer (S box leader)
About the family: The SAM riboswitch is found upstream of a number of genes which code for proteins involved in methionine or cysteine biosynthesis in Gram-positive bacteria. The SAM riboswitch acts at the level of transcription termination control.
Source: RNAcentral
CUUAUCAAGAGUGGCGGAGGGACAGGUCCUAUGAAGCCCGGCAACCUGCGUAUUUUAUACACAAGGUGCUAAUUCCUGCGGAGUUUUCCGAGAGAUGAGG